GACGAACGCUGGCGGCGUGCUUAACACAUGCAAGUCGUACGGUAAGGCCCUUUCGGGGGUACACGAGUGGCGAACGGGUGAGUAACACGUGAGUAACCUGCCCACAACUUUGGGAUAACGCUAGGAAACUGGUGCUAAUACUGGAUAUGUGCUACUGCUGCAUGGGGGGGGUUGGAAAGCUCCGGCGGUUGUGGAUGGACUCGCGGCCUAUCAGCUUGUUGGUGGGGUAGUGGCCUACCAAGGCGGCGACGGGUAGCCGGCCUGAGAGGGUGACCGGCCACACUGAGACUGAGAUACGGCCCAGACUCCUACGGGAGGCAGCAGGGGGGAAUAUUGCACAAUGGGCGCAAGCCUGAUGCAGCAACGCCGCGUGCGGGAUGACGGCCUUCGGGUUGUAAACCGCUUUCAGCAGGGACGAAGCUUUUUGUGACGGUACCUGCAGAAGAAGCACCGGCUAACUACGUG
This 465-nucleotide ribosomal RNA is filed under the name uncultured bacterium. RNAcentral's name for it is "partial 16S ribosomal RNA". It matches the Rfam family "Bacterial small subunit ribosomal RNA", at positions 28 to 507 of the family's 1533-position model. The record is from RNAcentral.